CGCAUUGUUUUGAAACUUGUUCGGUCAAAUUUUAUGGUAAAGAGAAACUUACUGCGAAGAUUUUGAGCAUAUAUAUGAUUGAGUUGGAUGAAAAAUCGCAAAAUUAUCCAGCGAUAAAUGUUCGUGUGAAAUGGUCAGUUGGUCAGUUGGAGCGUUUUAUUGCCAGAAAUACUGUGCUAUGUUAACAUCUAGCCUUGUGAAUGGUGUUUUAUACUUGCAUCUUUCAUCAUCAUCUGCUCUGUCCUCAUAAUUAUGAAAAAUGAACUGUUAUGUACCUCCCCCCCUCCUUGCUUGUUAGAGAAGUAAACUGAUGAGAGCACUGGAUGAGGGUCUAUCAUCUAUGGUCUGUUAUAAUUUGCUUUUUAUGCAAAUAGUGAGCAAAAAUUAAAGCAAAACUGUACAAGUUACAUAUAUAGUACUAUAACAAGUACUAUACACGAACUUUUAUCGAUGGAUAAUUUUGCGAGUUUUCAUCCAAUUCAAUCAUAUAUAUGCUCAAAAUCUUCGCGGUAAGUUUCUCUUUACCAUAAAAUUUGACCGAACAAGUUUCAAAACAAUGCGACGGCAAAAAAUGCAAACAUCCUGAUUUUCGUAAUAGAAU
Molecule: non-coding RNA, 601 nt
Organism: Paramuricea clavata
Lineage: Eukaryota; Metazoa; Cnidaria; Anthozoa; Malacalcyonacea; Plexauridae
Source: the annotation of a GenBank genome assembly